UCAUGUAUGGUACCACCUAUUCAUUACUUUUCCGCAAGAGUCUGAGCCAGAAUUUUGUAAUCUUACUGUAAAAAAGAAAAGAAAAAGAAUCCUAGUAUUUUCUGCCAAACAUAUUAACCGUCGGUCCAUGGAAUUGCGAUCUCAAUCGACGCUGAGAUAAAAAGAAAAAAAAGGUGAAUUUGAAAGCUGUCUUCUCUUGGAAAAGCAAAGGAGAUUCCAAAAUGAAAAGCUAAAGAUGGAACCACCAUGUGAGGAGUGAGAGCAUAGAUUACAGCGCGCAUCCCUCCCAUAAAGCAAAAGCCUAAAAAGUGGAAGAAGGAGAAAAACAGCAAAGGAGGACAGUGAUGUCGAACUUCGAACUGAGCGCACCAAUUCACGCUUUCUUGAUUCUUCCAAUGGCAGAAAUCCUAAGCUAGGCAGAGUCUCCGACGAUACCAAACGAUUUAUAGUUCCUCAUAUUUCUGGCGGUCGCGCCGUCUGCUCUGUGCCAAGUUACUGGUAAAAACUCCAUCUUCGAGUUCGUUCUUGUUCUUUACUGGUAAAAACUCCAUCUUCGAGUUCGUUCUUGUUCUUGUGUUACAUGAACGAGUGUUCACCGAAAGUUCGUUCCUUUGGCUC
Molecule: long non-coding RNA, 618 nt
Filed under: Eucalyptus grandis
Lineage: Eukaryota; Viridiplantae; Streptophyta; Magnoliopsida; Myrtales; Myrtaceae
Description: long non-coding RNA (EGRA_LNC001076)
Source: RNAcentral